This 390-nucleotide long non-coding RNA is filed under the name Nicotiana benthamiana. RNAcentral's name for it is "long non-coding RNA (NBEN_LNC022257)". Lineage: Eukaryota; Viridiplantae; Streptophyta; Magnoliopsida; Solanales; Solanaceae. The record is from RNAcentral.
AUUUGAGUGUAAAAUUAAAUAAGAAAUAAACAAGACUUUGAGUAUGGUCAUGAGAAUUUAUGUUUCAUUUUACAGGUAUAUGAUUGCCUUGUUAGUUUUUUUUCUUUUCUGCAACUUCCUUGGUUGAACUAGGCAUUUUUCAGAAUUAUUUUAGUUAAAUAAUAUCUUUUGUGCAUAUUUUAUUGGAUUACCUUGAAAGGAUCAGAAUCGAAAUACUCCGCCAAGAAUUUUCAUUCAACUUUAAUGACAUCUUCUAGUAUGUUUUGCAGCCGUUCCUCCUUUGAUCAACUGUUGUACCAGUAGAGAAUAUCAAAAGAAUAUGGCAGAGUAUUCCCUAGUUCAUAUAUAUAAGUGGGCAUAAAAUAUUGUUUGUUCAUAAUUUUCUAUGGC